AUUGAACGCUGGCGGCAGGCCUAACACAUGCAAGUCGAGCGGAUGAAAGGAGCUUGCUCCUGGAUUCAGCGGCGGACGGGUGAGUAAUGCCUAGGAAUCUGCCUGGUAGUGGGGGAUAACGUCCGGAAACGGGCGCUAAUACCGCAUACGUCCUGAGGGAGAAAGUGGGGGAUCUUCGGACCUCACGCUAUCAGAUGAGCCUAGGUCGGAUUAGCUAGUUGGUGGGGUAAAGGCCUACCAAGGCGACGAUCCGUAACUGGUCUGAGAGGAUGAUCAGUCACACUGGAACUGAGGCACGGUCCAGACUCCUACGGGAGGCAGCAGUGGGGGAUAUUGGACAAUGGGCGAAAGCCUGAUCCAGCCAUGCCGCGUGUGUGAAGAAGGUCUUCGGAUUGUAAAGCACUUUAAGUUGGGAGGAAGGGCAGUAAGUUAAUACCUUGCUGUUUUGACGUUACCAACAGAAUAAGCACCGGCUAACUUCGUG
Molecule: ribosomal RNA, 484 nt
Filed under: uncultured bacterium
Lineage: Bacteria
Description: partial 16S ribosomal RNA
Rfam family: Bacterial small subunit ribosomal RNA
Source: RNAcentral